Molecule: ribosomal RNA, 450 nt
Filed under: uncultured bacterium
Lineage: Bacteria
Description: bacterial SSU rRNA
Rfam family: Bacterial small subunit ribosomal RNA
Source: RNAcentral
GACGAACGCUGGCGGCGUGCUUAAUACAUGCAAGUCAACUGAACUUAAGAUAGCAAUAUUUUAAGGGAGGUGGCGCACGGGUGAGUAACACGUAGGUAAUCUGCCUUUAGGUCUGACACAACCCCGAGAAAUCGGGGCUAAUAUCAGAUGAUGCAGCGGCUCGACAUCGAGACAGUUGUUAAACCUUCGGGGCCGUAAAGAUGAGCCUGCGUCUGAUUAGGUAGUUGGCGGAGUAAAAGACCCACCAAGCCUGCGAUCAGUAGCUGGUCUGAGAGGAUGAUCAGCCACACUGGAACUGAGACACGGUCCAGACUCCUACGGGAGGCAGCAGUAAGGAAUAUUGCUCAAUGGCCGAAAGGCUGAAGCAGCAACGCCGCGUGGAGGAUGAAAUACUUUUGUAUGUAAACUCCUGUAAGAAGGGAAAAUAUUCCGAUUUAUCGGGAUUGAUUG